Molecule: ribosomal RNA, 253 nt
Filed under: uncultured bacterium
Lineage: Bacteria
Description: partial 16S ribosomal RNA
Rfam family: Bacterial small subunit ribosomal RNA
Source: RNAcentral
UACGAAGGGGGCUAGCGUUGCUCGGAAUCACUGGGCGUAAAGGGCGCGUAGGCGGGUCUUUAAGUCGGGGGUGAAAUCCUGGAGCUCAACUCCAGAACUGCCUUCGAUACUGUAGAGCUUGAGUUCGGGAGAGGUGAGUGGAACUGCGAGUGUAGAGGUGAAAUUCGUAGAUAUUCGCAAGAACACCAGUGGCGAAGGCGGCUCACUGGCCCGAUACUGACGCUGAGGUGCGAAAGCGUGGGGAGCAAACAGG